RNAcentral lists this ribosomal RNA (162 nucleotides) under Erigeron canadensis. RNAcentral describes it as "5.8S ribosomal RNA". It matches the Rfam family "5.8S ribosomal RNA". From Rfam's summary of the family: 5.8S ribosomal RNA (5.8S rRNA) is a component of the large subunit of the eukaryotic ribosome. It is transcribed by RNA polymerase I as part of the 45S precursor that also contains 18S and 28S rRNA. Functionally, it is thought that 5.8S rRNA may be involved in ribosome translocation. Lineage: Eukaryota; Viridiplantae; Streptophyta; Magnoliopsida; Asterales; Asteraceae. RNAcentral also lists the same sequence under 15 other names. The record is from RNAcentral.
AACGACUCUCGGCAACGGAUAUCUCGGCUCACGCAUCGAUGAAGAACGUAGCAAAAUGCGAUACUUGGUGUGAAUUGCAGAAUCCCGUGAACCAUCGAGUUUUUGAACGCAAGUUGCGCCCGAAGCCAUUCGGCUGAGGGCACGUCUGCCUGGGCGUCACGC